UACGUAGGGGGCAAGCGUUGUCCGGAAUUAUUGGGCGUAAAGCGCGCGCAGGCGGUCGUUCAAGUCGCGUGUGAAAGCCCCCGGCUCAACUGGGGAGGGUCACGCGAUACUGAUCGACUCGAAGGCAGGAGAGGGUAGUGGAAUUCCCGGUGUAGUGGUGAAAUGCGUAGAUAUCGGGAGGAACACCAGUGGCGAAGGCGACUACCUGGCCUGUUCUUGACGCUGAGGCGCGAAAGCUAGGGGAGCAAACGGG
Molecule: ribosomal RNA, 253 nt
Filed under: uncultured bacterium
Lineage: Bacteria
Description: partial 16S ribosomal RNA
Rfam family: Bacterial small subunit ribosomal RNA
Source: RNAcentral